UGGGGAAUAUUGGACAAUGGGCGCAAGCCUGAUCCAGCCAUGCCGCGUGUGUGAAGAAGGCCUUUUGGUUGUAAAGCACUUUAAUCGAGGAGGAGGCUACUUGGAUUAAUACUCUAGGAUUGUGGACGUUACUCGCAGAAUAAGCACCGGCUUACUCUGUGCCAGCAGCCGCGGUAAUACAGAGGGUGCGAGCGUUAAUCGGAUUUACUGGGCGUAAAGCGUGCGUAGGCGGCUUCUUAAGUCGGAUGUGAAAUCCCUGAGCUUAACUUAGGAAUUGCAUUCGAUACUGGGAAGCUAGAGUAUGGGAGAGGAUGGUAGAAUUCCAGGUGUAGCGGUGAAAUGCGUAGAGAUCUGGAGGAAUACCGAUGGCGAAGGCAGCCAUCUGGCAUAAUACUGACGCUGAGGUACGAAAGCAUGGGGAGCAAACAGG
RNAcentral lists this ribosomal RNA (430 nucleotides) under Fusobacteriota bacterium. Its description in RNAcentral is "Fusobacteria bacterium partial 16S ribosomal RNA". It matches the Rfam family "Bacterial small subunit ribosomal RNA", at positions 355 to 776 of the family's 1533-position model. Lineage: Bacteria; Fusobacteriati; Fusobacteriota. The record is from RNAcentral.